Molecule: transfer RNA, 67 nt
Filed under: Pattonomys semivillosus (Speckled spiny tree-rat)
Lineage: Eukaryota; Metazoa; Chordata; Mammalia; Rodentia; Echimyidae
Description: tRNA-Lys
Source: RNAcentral
CGUUAUGAAGCUACCCUAGCGUUAACCUUUUAAGUUAAAGAAUGAGAACAACUGUUCUCCAUAGCGA